UGGGGAAUAUUGCACAAUGGGCGCAAGCCUGAUGCAGCCAUGCCGCGUGUGUGAAGAAGGCCUUCGGGUUGUAAAGCACUUUCAGCGGGGAGGAAGGCGGUGAGGUUAAUAACCUCAUCGAUUGACGUUACCCGCAGAAGAAGCACCGGCUAACUCCGUGCCAGCAGCCGCGGUAACACGGAGGGUGCAAGCGUUAAUCGGAAUUACUGGGCGUAAAGCGCACGCAGGCGGUCUGUCAAGUCGGAUGUGAAAUCCCCGGGCUCAACCUGGGAACUGCAUUCGAAACUGGCAGGCUAGAGUCUUGUAGAGGGGGGUAGAAUUCCAGGUGUAGCGGUGAAAUGCGUAGAGAUCUGGAGGAAUACCGGUGGCGAAGGCGGCCCCCUGGACAAAGACUGACGCUCAGGUGCGAAAGCGUGGGGAGCAAACAGG
RNAcentral lists this ribosomal RNA (429 nucleotides) under Chloroflexota bacterium. RNAcentral's name for it is "Chloroflexi bacterium partial 16S ribosomal RNA". It matches the Rfam family "Bacterial small subunit ribosomal RNA", at positions 355 to 776 of the family's 1533-position model. The record is from RNAcentral. Lineage: Bacteria; Bacillati; Chloroflexota.